UACGUAGGUGGCGAGCGUUGUCCGGAUUUACUGGGCGUAAAGAGCGCGCAGGCGGUCGUACAAGUCGCGUGUGAAAGCCCCUGGCUCAACUGGGGAGGGUCACGCGAUACUGAUCGACUGGAAGGCAGGAGAGGGUAGUGGAAUUCCCGGUGUAGUGGUGAAAUGCGUAGAUAUCGGGAGGAACACCAGUGGCGAAGGCGACUACCUGGCCUGUUCUUGACGCUGAGGCGCGAAAGCUAGGGGAGCAAACGGG
This 253-nucleotide ribosomal RNA is filed under the name uncultured bacterium. Its description in RNAcentral is "partial 16S ribosomal RNA". It matches the Rfam family "Bacterial small subunit ribosomal RNA", at positions 524 to 776 of the family's 1533-position model. The record is from RNAcentral.